GAUGAACGCUGGCGGCGUGCCUAAUACAUGCGAGUCGAGCGAACGGACGAGAAGCUUGCUUCUCUGAUGUUAGCGGCGGACGGGUGAGUAACACGUGGAUAACCUACCUAUAAGACUGGGAUAACUUCGGGAAACCGGAGCUAAUACCGGAUAAUAUUUUGAACCGCAUGGUUCAAAAGUGAAAGACGGUCUUGCUGUCACUUAUAGAUGGAUCCGCGCUGCAUUAGCUAGUUGGUAAGGUAACGGCUUACCAAGGCAACGAUGCAUAGCCGACCUAAGAGGGUGAUCGGCCACACUGGAACUGAGACACGGUCAAGACUCCUACGGGAGGCAGCAGUAGGGAAUCUUCCGCAAUGGGAGAAAGCCUGACGGAGCAACGCCGCGUGAGUGAUGAAGGUUUUCGGAUCGUAAAACUCUGUUAUGAGGGAAAAACAUAUGUGUAAGUAACUGUGCACAUCUUGACGGUAACUAAUCAGAAAGCCACGGCUAACUACGUG
Molecule: ribosomal RNA, 497 nt
Filed under: uncultured bacterium
Lineage: Bacteria
Description: partial 16S ribosomal RNA
Rfam family: Bacterial small subunit ribosomal RNA
Source: RNAcentral